GACGAACGCUGGCGGCGUGGAUUAGGCAUACAAGUCGAACGGUAUCAUCCUUUCGGGGGUGAGAGAGUGGCGAACUGGUGAGUAACACGUAGGUUAUCUACCCUCAAGACGGGGACAACCCAGGGAAACUUGGGCUAAUACCGGAUGUGAGCAACUUUUAGUUGUUUGAAAGGUGGCGUAAGCUGUCGCUUGGGGAUGAGCCUGCGUCCUAUUAGUUAGUUGGUGAGGUAACGGCUCACCUAGGCAAUGAUAGGUAGGCGGCCUUAACGGGUGGUCGCCCACACUGGGAUUGAGAUACGGCCCAGACUCCUACGGGAGGCAGCAGUCGAGAAUAGUCUACAAUGGUCGGAAGACUGAUAGUGCGACGCCGCGUGAACGAUGAAUCCCUUCGGGUGUAAAGUUCUUUUAUAUGUGAGCAGUGCUUCUUAUAUUAACAGUAUGGGGAGAGAGAUAUUAGCAUAUGAAUAAGCAACGGCUAACUCCGUGCCAGCAGCCGCGGUAACUCGUCU
Molecule: ribosomal RNA, 509 nt
Filed under: uncultured bacterium
Lineage: Bacteria
Description: bacterial SSU rRNA
Rfam family: Bacterial small subunit ribosomal RNA
Source: RNAcentral